Long non-coding RNA from Coffea eugenioides, 621 nucleotides. RefSeq lists it as uncharacterized. The transcript is spliced from 3 exons. NCBI's taxonomy places the organism in Eukaryota, Viridiplantae, Streptophyta, Magnoliopsida, Gentianales, Rubiaceae. The record is from RefSeq and is a predicted model, not a curated record.
UGCUCUGGGCUCGAGAUCACUGUUUCUAUCCACUCCGGAAGACGUCCUACUCUCCUCUCCCCUCCUCUCCUCUUUUCUCGAUCAAUUUCUUCCCUUUCAUUUUCCUUUUUUAACCUUUUCUUUUUGUGUCAAAACUUCGUCCAGUAGCAGAAUAAAUCCCAUAUUCUUCUAGUUUUUUGGGACAAAUAUCUCUCGAGAUUGAAUCUGAAAAUUUUCAAACUUUUCUUUCUAUAAUUUGAAUUUUUUAGAUUUCUUUGAUUAAAUCCUCUUACUCCCUUCCUCCAUUCGCGAUCUGAAGCUUUGUUCAUAUGUGGUUUUCUGUUCGUUUUUCCCCUUUUUACUGACAUAUAUUAACCUAUUUCUUUGUAAUCGCAGGUGGAAAAUUUUGAGCUUUUUCUUGUUCAACACUUUUGAACUACUCCAAGAUAUGGUAAAUGGGGGAAAAGAUGAGCUUGUUCUUCUUUAACACUACCGAACUACUCAAGAUAUGGACUCGAACAACCUCAGCAAUCGAAACAGAGCCUUGUCUUUGGUGGAGCAUAUUGGAAAGUAGUAUUGGAGUUAUGAUCUUGAUACUUUUUUUUUUCCCUCCUUUGUAAUAUUUUUUAGCAAGGGAGAAAG